ACUGCCUUUGGUUUUCCUGCUUCUGCCCCUCGCUUGCCAGUUAAAAGAAUAAGAAGGUCAAAUUGGAACAGGUGAAUUCUCUCUGUUGUCAUCUGCAACGAUGACAAAAAGAAUCGGGAGAAUAGCUCAGCCAGCCAAAGUAGGAAGGGCCAAGGAGAAACCUUCUCUCUCUUGACUUCAAUGUUUUCUAGUUCAGACUGUGCCAUUGACAUUUGAAGCUCAAUUUCUUUUUUUAUUUUGUUUAUAAAGAAUGCCUUUAUGAAAACCUGUACUUUUUCUAGUCACUGACUCCAAGGCCAGUGCUCAAGUUAUUUCUUUACCCUGCACUGGUUUACAUAAUAUUUUCCUCCUCCACAAACCUAAAAAUGGAAAGUGGAGUCUCAACCUGUUUCAAAACACUCCAGAGGAAGGUACCAAGUUGAGGAAGGUACCAUGUUGAUCAGGCUGACAUGGUAAACCUGAGAGAUGGAUAUGAUGACCAUGAUAUUUGUGUCCUUAAGCACAACUCAUCAGGAUAGGUAAACAACACUGAUUAAGUUCUUGUCUAAGUUCUACGUUAUUACUACAGAAACCCCAGAAGUGGCGGAUGCAGCAAAGCGCAAGGAAGGAACCUUGAGCCACGUCAUUCUGAGCACGUGGCACAAGUUACUAUGAUGCCUCUAGGAAAGUUGCUCAAUUUAUUCAAGCCAUGGUUUUCCUAUUUGUUCAGGUGCUGCAAUUUCAGCCAUCUCGCGAGACCAGGCAGGUCAUGUAAAUAAGCGGUCAGAAGCAAUCAGCCGGAAGUGCACGGUACAGGGCUGGCUUCUUCUGAGGGUUCAUCAGUGCGGGUCUCCCCAAGCACCAUACCAGCCAAAUGGAAUGCAGCUAUGACUGAAUUUGACCCCAGAUACACUGUGUUUCAGAGGCUUUACAGCACAUAGCAACGUUUAGGGUUUGUUGGCCACUGGGGUCAACAUGUUCACUGCCUGCAGGGAACUGGCCAGAAACAGGAGAUGAAGGAGACCCAACAGCAGUUGAUGACCUCAGUCCUGUUACUUCAACUGAGAAUGAGUGCUAAGCCGCUGAGCUUCCCAAGAACAAGCUGAGGACAUCAGGCCAAAGAGGACCGGGUAUUUUUCCUGAAGGUAUUAAACUAGUGUACUUCCAAGUACACCAAGCUUCACAACCAACAAUGAGGAAUGUGGUGAUACAGAUGCUACAAUCAAGGUGAAGAUACAGUUGACUAAAGCUGUCACUAAAUAAAAUCCAGGUGCACUCCACGGGGGAGAGCUUCUUCUGAUUCCCAUUCUUACUGAUGGGGAAACUGAGGCUGCAGAGAGGUUUAACUGCUUGCUCAAAGUCACCAGCUGAUCAGACCACUGGGACAGGGUCCCUCGGACUUUCCAUGAUCCCAAAGGUUCAGAGCUCAGACUUGAGGGCUGAACAGCACAGAUGAAAAUCCAAGCUCUGCUGUGGACCAGAGGAGUGACCUUUCUCUGUCUCCUCAUCCAUUCCUCAGAUGAGGACAGAAAGGCCCAGAGAGGUGGAGGAACUUGCCCACAGUCACAGAGCCUGCAAGAACAGACAGGGUGCAGAUCUAGAUCUGGCUGACUCUCUUCCUCCGUGCCUCCCUGCCGCCCUGCGUGCCUGCAAGCUGGAUUGCUUUCAUCUCAUGCUGAGAAGUCCUUGGGCCCCCUCCACACUCCUGCCAAGAAGCAGCUUCAAAAAUUUUUUGAACAAAGGAACCAGAAGCUCAGCUCAGAGGAUUCACACAUUCAUAUAAUCUUUGCUGACUCCCUAAAGUCCUAGGUUUGACUGUGAAAGAGCAAGUCUGAGGCCUUCUCCCUUUGGGGAAUGUGCAGAAUGUCAGAGGCUACUUCUGUGCAGCUGAAAUUUGCCAACCAUUCACCACUUCACUAGAGGUUCUGUUCCUGCCUCAUGCCCAAAGUGGUAUUUUUGAAGCCAUUGGAAUUUGAAAUGUCAUUUUUAUGUUAUAGUAAUACACAGAUUACAGAUGUAUGCUCAGUAUAAAAAUAAUUCAAAUGACAUAGCAAUAGGUAAUGGAAAAAUGAGUAUCCAUUCCAUCCAUCCUCUUCCCCACUUUCAGCCUUAUUCCCUUCCCUAGAAAUGGCUGCUAUUAACUUGUGAACAUCUUUCUAUGCUUCUUUCUAGACAGAUAUAUAGAAAAAUAGAAUGUGUGUGUAUGUGUGGAGAGUUUUUAAAAAUCAUUAUUGGUAUUAGACUCUAUAAAGUAUUCUGCAUCAUGCUUUUUGUACUGAACAAGUUCUUUCCACUUAGAUCUCUGUAUUAUUCUUUUAAAGUGCUGCAUAGUAUUUAAUAAUUUAUUUAACCAUUCCUCUAUAAUUAGUUAGGUCUUUUAUAAGCUUUACUAUUACAAACAAUGUUUUAGUGAGCUUACUUAUACAUUUAUCCUCAUACAUUCUUCAGAAUGUAUCUGAGAGCAUAUUUCUUAGAAAUAGAAUUGCAGGGUCAAAGAUACAUAUUUUUAUGCCCAUUCUUAUUUUGAUAGAAAAACUGCCAGAUUACUUCUCUCCUCAAAAAAAAAAAAAAAAAAGGCAAAUAAAAAACAGUGCCAGUUUCCUUUCCGAUCAACAAUCUAUAAGAGGAAAUUUGGCAAUUUUGUAACACCAACUCCUCAAACCUCUGCCUGAGGGUAUUUCUCUGCCAGCUAAAAUAUUAUUCUUGGUAUCAGAACUUCCUGGUAGCUGAUGAUCUCUUGGAUGCCUGGUUCUGUGGAGAUAUUUGAUAAGCUGCUCCCUGCCCUACCUUAGUAGAAAUGCACCCCACAGCAGGCUCGGACUCCCACUGUUCCAUGUUCUUCAUAACAAUCAUCUUUCUAUAUUAUAACUUAUCUAGUCAUAUUUUGGCUCUUCAACUAGGGAAUGCUGUCCUCUGGGACAGAAACCAUGCCUAGUCAUCCUUUUAUUCCCAGCACCUAUCAUAGUAUCUGAUAGUGAUCCGUGGUCCCUGAGCUGUUUGAAUGAAUGACAGAAAAGAGAGCGGGAGGAAGGAGAAAGGGAGGGGGAAAAAAACAUAAUUGAUCCCCUGAGGGUCCUCAAACCCAGGAAGACUUAGUAAAGCUCUGUGUGAAGUGGAGGGACAAGAUUUCUAGAUUUCUCCUGUACCCAAGAUAUCUGAGCACUUGGAACCAGAAAAUGUCUUUUAUUUCUCAGCCACUUAUCUGAACUGAGUAACACUGUUCAUCUCCAGUCUUAGAACUGCAAGGUAGAAUAUGGGAUUUGUGAGACAGAAAAGCUCAAACAUUUUGUUCUUUUGAGUUUUCCAAGCACACUGUGCACUUUUCUUUUCUCAUAGCUUAUAUGCUAACAAAGAUGUGUUUGGAAAAAUGAAAAUUGGGGGACUUUCUGGUCUGACUGUAGACUUACCUCUUUCCUGGGAUCUGUCCUCUCAGCGCUCAGGGGCCUUCCCACAACCACAUGGUCUUCUCUCCCACUUCAUU
Bubalus bubalis (water buffalo) is the source of this 3460-nucleotide long non-coding RNA. RefSeq lists it as uncharacterized. The transcript is spliced from 5 exons. The record is from RefSeq and is a predicted model, not a curated record. NCBI's taxonomy places the organism in Eukaryota, Metazoa, Chordata, Mammalia, Artiodactyla, Bovidae.